UCCAGGUCGCGGGUGCUGGGAAGAGCUGGUGGCUCCCUAAAUCGUCCCGGGCUUUCAGCACGGAGCACUGGGGGAUGGUGCCACAGUGGGGUCCUCCCAGGGCACACCCCCCCCCAUUUCUUUUUGGGGGAGAAGAGUUUUUCCUGGCAACUCCAUCCCACAGCAGGGCUGGGAACGAAGAUCCCCGAGACCGACAGGAGCAGGAGGACGUGGAGGACCCCCUCUGCACUAAACUGCUGAAGAGUUAAAACUGCAGCAUUUCUUUCUUCCAGUCCACGGAAGAUUCCGGCAGCUCCGGGCCACAACCACUCCGUGCCCGGGGUAGUUGAGAUGUUGGCAGUGGACACGGUUUCAGCAUAAUUUAACACAAUCUCUACCAAUUUGUUACACCUAAGUGGAGGCAGAUGUGCAUCCAUAUUCAUUUUGGAGGAACUUCAGGAAUUAUAACUUCAUCAGCUAAGGCCGCCUGCCGCCGCCAGCCCGAGUUCCUGUGCAGGAGAAGGUGCCGUGCCGGGACACUGGCCAAAUCCAGCCCUGCUCAAGUGCCAUGCCAUGAGGUCCCCAGCCUAGAGGAGAGGAGCCCUGUUCCAGGCAGAGGACAUGGAGACACCACAUCCCCUUCCUGGCCAGCACAGCUCCAGUGCUACAGGGUCAGCUCAGAUGGCUCCUGGCCGCAGGCUCCAGCUGCUCCUUGCCCAUCCCAGGGAUGCAGACCGAGGAUGCCGGUGCUGCUGCCUCUCCUGCAGCAUCCUGGGCAGGCGUGGCCCUGGAAAACACCCUGGUGAAGGUUCAAGGAGGACAGGACAGGCCCCGUGGCCAGGUGUGCUGCUGCUUUGGGUAGGGAGAAGACAUGAUCAGCCCACAGCACCUUGAAAGAGAGCUUGGAUGUGAUUCCUGCACCAGGAGGGCCACCAGUGGGUACUGGUGUCCCCGGCCCCACCACUGGUGCCAUUCCCAGCCCGUCCACUGGCACAAGGCAAGCUCGGAGCCAGAAAAGAGCUCUCCACUUCAGAGCAAGUCCAGAGAAAUAAAGAGAAGAGAAAUAAACCCCUACGUUUGCUCUGCACUCAGCUCCGAGCCGCCGUUGUGUCUUGCUGCUCAAAGGAUUUCUGGGAAAGCUCCACCACUUUUAUUCCUUAAACACAGAGCAAAACAAUCAAUGGGGUUUUGAUAUCGCCUAAGCCCUGCAAGCCUGUUCCUGGGAAGCCACGGGGAGUGGAUAGAGCUGUGACGGUCUGAAAAGAAACCCGCACAGGAAAAGGCACAGCUGGAAUUCCCAGUGCUCCCAGUGGCUCCGUGCACCUGCUGCAGUGACUCUGCACAGUUCAAACAAGGACACCCCGCUGCCCAUCCCUGGCUGUGGCCUGGGGAGGGUGCAGGGGGGACCAACCAUGAGCCACCCUCUGCUCCAGGCUCCCAGCCCAGGCUCCAUCACACACAACAGAUAUGGACCUCCUUGCUUUCACAGCUCCUGUGCCCAUUGUUUUCUCACAGAGAUCACAACAUUUCAUGAGGAAUUCAGUCCCUCUCUGCCUUUCAUUCAGUACAAGUGUCUUAAAAACAGAUCUGAGACUCUUCUAGUUUGCUCAUCGCUCAAAGGAAAUGAACAUUUGAGAUCCUGCCCAGUAAAACCAGCCUGGUGACAGACACAUGGUGGCCGUGUGGAUGAGCUGGCCACGCUGCCACAUCCCGAGGGAGUGACCUCAGGGAAACACCAGCCCUUGGACAGCCGGGCAGGCGAUGCUCGGGCACAUGGUGUGGGCUCAUCAUUGUGGGGCACCAUGGACGUCCUGGCUGCCUUCCCACUGGAUCACAGGCAGCCAGGCAGCACUCGAGGAGGGACAGGAGCUGGAGCUGUGCCCUCACCCUGCUGGUGGCAGCAGUGCCAUCACCCUGCUAAUCACUCAGCUGUGCCCUGUGCACUGGCUGUCAGCGUUUCCCUGGGAAGGAUGUGGCCCAUGUGGGUGUGAUAAAAGCCAGUUAACCCCACACUUGGGUCAUGGGGACAUCCUUCACUGGCAGUGGAGGACACGUGUCCCCAGCCCUCCCAGGGCCACCAGAGUGCUGUGGCAGCCCGGGCAGGCCCAUGGCCAGGCUGGGCACCACUCUGUGCCCCGUCCCCGCUCCGCCUGUCUGCUCUGCUUCCCUGCUCCCUGCUGUCCCGGUACAAAUCAUUUGCUCAGAUAACAGAUGACGUGUUUAUCCCAAGGGGUACAAGCCUGAAUAUUAGGAUGUCAAAACCAGCUGCAUUUGCAAUACGUUACUGUCAAAUGGAGAAUAAAAAGGGAGUUGCAGUUAUUUAAUUUGGUGCCAGCGCAGGAGAGCGGGAGCCGGGGGAGCAGCGUCUGCUCCCGGGCUGGGAUCCAGACCCCCGGACCUGGCAGGAGCUGCCUGGGGGGCUGGGGAGGGCACAGGCUGGGGGUCUGGUGCCGGGAAGUUGCUGCAUUGCUGCACUGCCUCUCCUCCCUCUCAUGCCGGAGCCUGGGAGAGGGAGAAGCCGCCUCGUCUGCGGGCAGGUCGCGGGGGGCACGUGGCAGCUCAUUCAUCCGUGCCAGCAAAAUCUGUACUUUAAAAAAUUUGUCGGGAAAAGAAAGGCUUUUUUGAAGACAAACAUCCCAGCUCCUUGGGGAAGGCUCCGAGUUUGCAGAAUACCAAUUAAAAAUAUAAAAGUGCUUUUUAAAAAAAUAAAUCUAUAAAGGCGA
This is a long non-coding RNA of Lepidothrix coronata (blue-crowned manakin), 2702 nucleotides long. RefSeq lists it as uncharacterized. NCBI's taxonomy places the organism in Eukaryota, Metazoa, Chordata, Aves, Passeriformes, Pipridae. The transcript is spliced from 5 exons. The record is from RefSeq and is a predicted model, not a curated record.